Molecule: regulatory RNA element, 47 nt
Organism: Yersinia pestis CO92
Lineage: Bacteria; Pseudomonadati; Pseudomonadota; Gammaproteobacteria; Enterobacterales; Yersiniaceae
Rfam family: Guanidine-II riboswitch aptamer (mini-ykkC)
About the family: Simpler in structure and has fewer highly conserved nucleotide positions than the ykkC-yxkD leader.
Source: Rfam
UGGCUGGGACGACCCAGUUACGCAUCUGUUUUUCGGGGACGGCCCCG